RNAcentral lists this ribosomal RNA (374 nucleotides) under uncultured organism. Its description in RNAcentral is "partial 16S ribosomal RNA". It matches the Rfam family "Bacterial small subunit ribosomal RNA", at positions 527 to 896 of the family's 1533-position model. The record is from RNAcentral.
GGGGGGGGCAAGCGUUUGUUCGGAAUUACUGGGCGUAAAGGGCGUGUAGGCGGUCCCGCAAGUCUUUCGUGAAAUCCCACAGCUCAACUGUGGAACUGCGAGGGAAACUGCAGGACUUGAGUCCGGGAGAGGAGAGUGGAAUUCCCAGUGUAGCGGUGAAAUGCGUAGAUAUUGGGAGGAACACCGGUGGCGAAGGCGGCUCUCUGGACCGGUACUGACGCUGAGGCGCGAAAGCUAGGGGAGCAAACGGGAUUAGAUACCCCGGGUAGUCCUAGCCUUAAACGAUGAGCACUUGGUGUGGCGGGUAUCGACCCCCUGCCGUGCCGAAGCUAACGCAUUAAGUGCUCCGCCUGGGGAGUACGGUCGCAAGGCUG